RNAcentral lists this transfer RNA (76 nucleotides) under Candidatus Tectomicrobia bacterium RIFCSPLOWO2_02_FULL_70_19. RNAcentral describes it as "tRNA-Thr". It matches the Rfam family "tRNA". From Rfam's summary of the family: Transfer RNA (tRNA) molecules are approximately 80 nucleotides in length. RNAcentral also lists the same sequence under 1 other name. Lineage: Bacteria; Pseudomonadati; Candidatus Tectimicrobiota. The record is from RNAcentral.
GCCCACGUAGCUCAGCUGGCAGAGCACUUCCUUGGUAAGGAAGAGGUCACCGGUUCAAGCCCGGUCGUGGGCUCCA